CACGAAUUUUAAGCCUAUGUCAACCCUUCUCCUUUGUCUUAUCCCUAUUUUUCCUGUAGGUACCUGACUGUAUACAACGAUCAAACUGCCUUUCCUCACCAUUUUCCUUGAUGUGACACAGUGCAACACUAUCCAUUUUAAGGACUGGAGACCACUUAAUGAGGUGAUACAGGCUGCUCCAAGCCCUCCUGUUCACACGUGGUGAUGGU
RNAcentral lists this long non-coding RNA (209 nucleotides) under Struthio camelus australis. RNAcentral's name for it is "lncRNA (ENSSCUG00000012258.1)". The record is from RNAcentral. Lineage: Eukaryota; Metazoa; Chordata; Aves; Struthioniformes; Struthionidae.